This 2923-nucleotide ribosomal RNA is filed under the name Klebsiella pneumoniae. RNAcentral's name for it is "23S ribosomal RNA". It matches the Rfam family "Bacterial large subunit ribosomal RNA". The record is from RNAcentral. Lineage: Bacteria; Pseudomonadati; Pseudomonadota; Gammaproteobacteria; Enterobacterales; Enterobacteriaceae. RNAcentral also lists the same sequence under 1 other name.
GGGUUGUGAGGUUAAGCGACUAAGCGUACACGGUGGAUGCCCUGGCAGUCAGAGGCGAUGAAGGACGUGCUAAUCUGCGAAAAGCGUCGGUAAGGUGAUAUGAACCGUUAUAACCGGCGAUGUCCGAAUGGGGAAACCCAGUGCAAUUCGUUGCACUAUCGUUAACUGAAUACAUAGGUUAACGAGGCGAACCGGGGGAACUGAAACAUCUAAGUACCCCGAGGAAAAGAAAUCAACCGAGAUUCCCCCAGUAGCGGCGAGCGAACGGGGAGCAGCCCAGAGUCUGAAUCAGCUUGUGUGUUAGUGGAACGGUCUGGAAAGUCCGACGGUACAGGGUGAUAGUCCCGUACACCAAAAUGCACAGGCUGUGAACUCGAAGAGUAGGGCGGGACACGUGGUAUCCUGUCUGAAUAUGGGGGGACCAUCCUCCAAGGCUAAAUACUCCUGACUGACCGAUAGUGAACCAGUACCGUGAGGGAAAGGCGAAAAGAACCCCGGCGAGGGGAGUGAAAAAGAACCUGAAACCGUGUACGUACAAGCAGUGGGAGCACCUUCGGGUGUGACUGCGUACCUUUUGUAUAAUGGGUCAGCGACUUAUAUUCUGUAGCAAGGUUAACCGUAUAGGGGAGCCGCAGGGAAACCGAGUCUUAACUGGGCGUUAAGUUGCAGGGUAUAGACCCGAAACCCGGUGAUCUAGCCAUGGGCAGGUUGAAGGUUGGGUAACACUAACUGGAGGACCGAACCGACUAAUGUUGAAAAAUUAGCGGAUGACUUGUGGCUGGGGGUGAAAGGCCAAUCAAACCGGGAGAUAGCUGGUUCUCCCCGAAAGCUAUUUAGGUAGCGCCUCGUGAACUCAUCUUCGGGGGUAGAGCACUGUUUCGGCUAGGGGGUCAUCCCGACUUACCAACCCGAUGCAAACUACGAAUACCGAAGAAUGUUAUCACGGGAGACACACGGCGGGUGCUAACGUCCGUCGUGAAGAGGGAAACAACCCAGACCGCCAGCUAAGGUCCCAAAGUCAUGGUUAAGUGGGAAACGAUGUGGGAAGGCACAGACAGCCAGGAUGUUGGCUUAGAAGCAGCCAUCAUUUAAAGAAAGCGUAAUAGCUCACUGGUCGAGUCGGCCUGCGCGGAAGAUGUAACGGGGCUAAACCAUGCACCGAAGCUGCGGCAGCGACACUAUGUGUUGUUGGGUAGGGGAGCGUUCUGUAAGCCUGCGAAGGUGACCUGUGAGGGUUGCUGGAGGUAUCAGAAGUGCGAAUGCUGACAUAAGUAACGAUAAAGCGGGUGAAAAGCCCGCUCGCCGGAAGACCAAGGGUUCCUGUCCAACGUUAAUCGGGGCAGGGUGAGUCGACCCCUAAGGCGAGGCCGAAAGGCGUAGUCGAUGGGAAACAGGUUAAUAUUCCUGUACUUGGUGUUACUGCGAAGGGGGGACGGAGAAGGCUAUGUUAGCCGGGCGACGGUUGUCCCGGUUUAAGCAUGUAGGCUGGUUAUCCAGGCAAAUCCGGAUAAUCAAGGCUGAGGUGUGAUGACGAGGUACUACGGUGCUGAAGUAACAAAUGCCCUGCUUCCAGGAAAAGCCUCUAAGCAUCAGGUAACAUUAAAUCGUACCCCAAACCGACACAGGUGGUCAGGUAGAGAAUACCAAGGCGCUUGAGAGAACUCGGGUGAAGGAACUAGGCAAAAUGGUGCCGUAACUUCGGGAGAAGGCACGCUGGUGUGUAGGUGAAGUCCCUGCGGAUGGAGCUGAGACCAGUCGAAGAUACCAGCUGGCUGCAACUGUUUAUUAAAAACACAGCACUGUGCAAACACGAAAGUGGACGUAUACGGUGUGACGCCUGCCCGGUGCCGGAAGGUUAAUUGAUGGGGUUAUCCGUAAGGAGAAGCUCUUGAUCGAAGCCCCGGUAAACGGCGGCCGUAACUAUAACGGUCCUAAGGUAGCGAAAUUCCUUGUCGGGUAAGUUCCGACCUGCACGAAUGGCGUAAUGAUGGCCAGGCUGUCUCCACCCGAGACUCAGUGAAAUUGAACUCGCUGUGAAGAUGCAGUGUACCCGCGGCAAGACGGAAAGACCCCGUGAACCUUUACUAUAGCUUGACACUGAACAUUGAGCCUUGAUGUGUAGGAUAGGUGGGAGGCUUUGAAGCGUGGACGCCAGUCUGCGUGGAGCCAACCUUGAAAUACCACCCUUUAAUGUUUGAUGUUCUAACGUUGGCCCCUGACCGGGGUUGCGGACAGUGUCUGGUGGGUAGUUUGACUGGGGCGGUCUCCUCCCAAAGCGUAACGGAGGAGCACGAAGGUUAGCUAAUCCUGGUCGGACAUCAGGAGGUUAGUGCAAUGGCAUAAGCUAGCUUGACUGCGAGCGUGACGGCGCGAGCAGGUGCGAAAGCAGGUCAUAGUGAUCCGGUGGUUCUGAAUGGAAGGGCCAUCGCUCAACGGAUAAAAGGUACUCCGGGGAUAACAGGCUGAUACCGCCCAAGAGUUCAUAUCGACGGCGGUGUUUGGCACCUCGAUGUCGGCUCAUCACAUCCUGGGGCUGAAGUAGGUCCCAAGGGUAUGGCUGUUCGCCAUUUAAAGUGGUACGCGAGCUGGGUUUAGAACGUCGUGAGACAGUUCGGUCCCUAUCUGCCGUGGGCGCUGGAGAAUUGAGGGGGGCUGCUCCUAGUACGAGAGGACCGGAGUGGACGCAUCACUGGUGUUCGGGUUGUCAUGCCAAUGGCACUGCCCGGUAGCUAAAUGCGGAAGAGAUAAGUGCUGAAAGCAUCUAAGCACGAAACUUGCCCCGAGAUGAGUUCUCCCUGAGACUUUAAGUCUCCUGAAGGAACGUUAAAGACGAUGACGUUGAUAGGCCGGGUGUGUAAGCGCAGCGAUGCGUUGAGCUAACCGGUACUAAUGAACCGUGAGGCUUAACCUUACAACGCCGAAG